RNAcentral lists this small nucleolar RNA (147 nucleotides) under Solanum tuberosum (potato). RNAcentral describes it as "small nucleolar RNA snoR135". It matches the Rfam family "small nucleolar RNA snoR135". The record is from Rfam by way of RNAcentral. Lineage: Eukaryota; Viridiplantae; Streptophyta; Magnoliopsida; Solanales; Solanaceae.
AAAGCAGGGAUUGUGUGUAUUGGCGUUGUGCUAUUAUAAAUGCGCUUUGCUUGAAAGUGUUCUCUGCAAAAUUGAUUUUUUGGGGAAGAUGGGCAGUUGUGUUUCAUCUGUUCACUGGAAAUUUCAACAAUCAUUUUCCCCACAUUU